UAGUGGCCUACCAAGGCGACGACGGGUAGCCGGCCUGAGAGGGCGACCGGCCACACUGGGACUGAGACACGGCCCAGACUCCUACGGGAGGCAGCAGUGGGGAAUAUUGCGCAAUGGGCGGAAGCCUGACGCAGCGACGCCGCGUGGGGGAUGACGGCCUUCGGGUUGUAAACCUCUUUCAGCAGGGACGAAGUUGACGUGUACCUGCAGAAGAAGCGCCGGCUAACUACGUGCCAGCAGCCGCGGUAAUACGUAGGGCGCAAGCGUUGUCCGGAAUUAUUGGGCGUAAAGAGCUCGUAGGUGGCUGGUCGCGUCUGCCGUGAAAGCCCGCAGCUUAACUGCGGGUCUGCGGUGGAUACGGGCCGGCUAGAGGUAGGUAGGGGCAAGUGGAAUUCCUGGUGUAGCGGUGAAAUGCGCAGAUAUCAGGAGGAACACCGGUGGCGAAGGCGGCUUGCUGGGCCUUACCUGACGCUGAGGAGCGAAAGCGUGGGGAGCGAACAGGAUUAGAUACCCUGGUAGUCCACGCUGUAAACGUUGGGCGCUAGGUGUGGGGGUCUUCCACGAUCUCCGUGCCGGAGCUAACGCAUUAAGCGCCCCGCCUGGGGAGUACGGCCGCAAGGCUAAAACUCAAAGGAAUUGACGGGGGCCC
This 649-nucleotide ribosomal RNA is filed under the name Nonomuraea sp. RM560. RNAcentral describes it as "bacterial SSU rRNA". It matches the Rfam family "Bacterial small subunit ribosomal RNA", at positions 258 to 922 of the family's 1533-position model. Lineage: Bacteria; Bacillati; Actinomycetota; Actinomycetes; Streptosporangiales; Streptosporangiaceae. The record is from RNAcentral.